Molecule: small RNA, 158 nt
Filed under: Klebsiella sp. OBRC7
Lineage: Bacteria; Pseudomonadati; Pseudomonadota; Gammaproteobacteria; Enterobacterales; Enterobacteriaceae
Description: RtT RNA
Rfam family: RtT RNA (bases 39-158)
About the family: This family represents a bacterial cis-regulatory element known as RtT RNA. The exact function of RtT is unknown although it is thought that it may be involved in changing the cellular response in relation to amino acid starvation.
Source: RNAcentral
UACCACGUUGUUGUGGUAAUACCGAUGAAUGUAAACGAUGUUUGCACUUAUCGGGAAGGGUGAGAAUCUUCGACCAAGGUUCGAGUCGAGCGAAAGCGAGACAACGUUGCCGCAGGCAACGGCCCGAAGUGUGAGGAGCGAAGCGACGAAUAAUCCUU